This 893-nucleotide long non-coding RNA is filed under the name Manacus vitellinus (golden-collared manakin). Its description in RNAcentral is "lncRNA (ENSMVIG00005003501.1)". The record is from RNAcentral. Lineage: Eukaryota; Metazoa; Chordata; Aves; Passeriformes; Pipridae.
UAAACAGUGUUUAAUUGUCUUGUUUUACAUUAAAUUUCUUUUAUUCUUUUUCUAAUUUGCUGUAGAACUUCACCUUCGAAUGUGCAUGGCAACUCUCUCAGGUUUAUUGAGACACUCGCAAGAUCCUCAGUGAAGGGAAGGUCAGGACUGUGGGAGAAAUGAACCCAGAUGACAAACUGAAGUCCAAAUUUCCAGCAAGGUAUCUUUCUGAGCUGCUGGCACCACAAGUGUUUCAGAAAAGCAACAGCAGCCCUUCAAGAGCCCUGCAAACCUUCCAGCACCUUGAAAACCUGUCAUGCCUCUUUGGCUUCUCAGAGUUUAAUAAAGGUACAUAAUAGCAUAGGCCACCCCAAACUGUUUCAAUCUUCCUUUCAAUCUUGAAGACUGAACUCUCGUAUGUUUAAUUUAAAGGUAUUUGUCCUGUGAGCAAAAUCUGCUGCCAGAAGCAUUAGUGUGCUUUCAAAGGACGUUCCUCAAAUACGAAUGAGCUGAGUCCCUGUGAACAUUUUAAUAGAUCCAGCAGUGCUGGAAGCUAAAAGUAAAGCUGCCACCUUUCAUGUCCAACCAGAACUUUUCCCCUGCUGCUUAAUAUUUUUGUUCCUGGCAUUUUACAAAAAUAGUCAGUCUUGCUCAGCCUGGGAGAUUUGUAUAAAUUCAUGUUCACAACAGUUAACUUGAUUCUGUCAAAACUGGUGUAUAUGCUGUAAGAUAUUGCCCCUUGGAAAGAUAGGAGAUGCUUUUUCAAGAUGGUAAGUGUCUGUGAAUAAGUAAAAUUUCAUUGAUGCCAAAACACUUAUGGGAACUUAUUUGUUUCAGCUUGAUUUGUGUUGAAAACUCCAAGUGAAACCAGGUCAAAGAUUUUGACUGGGAUCUCUGCAGUUCUCCUCACACCU